This 427-nucleotide ribosomal RNA is filed under the name uncultured bacterium. Its description in RNAcentral is "bacterial SSU rRNA". It matches the Rfam family "Bacterial small subunit ribosomal RNA", at positions 355 to 774 of the family's 1533-position model. The record is from RNAcentral.
UGAGGAAUAUUGGACAAUGGGCGCAAGCCUGAUCCAGCAAUGCCGCGUGCAGGAUGAAGGCCUUCGGGUUGUAAACUGCUUUUGUACGGAGCGAAAAGGUCUGCCCUAAUACGGUGGGCUCAUGACGGUACCGUAAGAAUAAGCACCGGCUAACUACGUGCCAGCAGCCGCGGUAAUACGUAGGGUGCGAGCGUUAAUCGGAAUUACUGGGCGUAAAGCGUGCGCAGGCGGUUAUAUAAGACAGAUGUGAAAUCCCCGGGCUCAACCUGGGACCUGCAUUUGUGACUGUAUAGCUAGAGUACGGUAGAGGGGGAUGGAAUUCCACGUGUAGCAGUGAAAUGCGUAGAUAUGCGGAGGAACACCGAUGGCGAAGGCAAUCCCCUGGACCUGUACUGACGCUCAUGCACGAAAGCGUGGGGAGCAAACA